AACGAACGCUGGCGGCAUGCCUAACACAUGCAAGUCGAACGAGACCUUCGGGUCUAGUGGCGCACGGGUGCGUAACGCGUGGGAACCUGCCCUUAGGUUCGGAAUAACUCCCCGACAGGGGUGCUAAUACCGGAUAAUGUCUUCGGCCCAAAGAUUUAUCGCCUUUGGUUGGGCCCGCGUUGGAUUAGCUGGUUGGUAGGGUAAAAGCCUACCAAGGCGACGAUGCAUAGCUGGUCUGAGAGGAUGAUCAGCCACACUGGGACUGAGACACGGCCCAGAAUACUACGGGAGGGAGGAGAGGGGAAUAUAGGAAAAUGGGGGAAAGCAUGAAGGAGCAAGGACGCGUGAGUGAUGAAGGCAGUAGGGUAGUAAAGCUCUUUUAACCGAGAAGAUAAUGACAGUACCGGGAGAAUAAGCACCGGCUAACUCCGUG
RNAcentral lists this ribosomal RNA (433 nucleotides) under uncultured bacterium. RNAcentral describes it as "partial 16S ribosomal RNA". It matches the Rfam family "Bacterial small subunit ribosomal RNA", at positions 29 to 507 of the family's 1533-position model. The record is from RNAcentral.